CGAACGCUGGCGGCGUGCUUAACACAUGCAAGUCGAGCGGAAAGGCCCCUUUCGGGGGGUACUCGAGCGGCGAACGGGUGAGUAACACGUGAGCAACCUGCCCCUGGCUUUGGGAUAAGCCUGGGAAACUGGGUCUAAUACCGGAUGUGACCUUCUGCCGCAUGGUGGGGGGUGGAAAGUUUCUCGGCUGGGGAUGGGCUCGCGGCCUAUCAGCUUGUUGGUGGGGUGAUGGCCUACCAAGGCGACGACGGGUAGCCGACCUGAGAGGGUGAUCGGCCACACUGGGACUGAGACACGGCCCAGACUCCUACGGGAGGCAGCAGUAGGGAAUCUUCGGCAAUGGGCGAAAGCCUGACCGAGCAACGCCGCGUGAGCGAUGAAGGCCUUCGGGUCGUAAAGCUCUGUUGUUAAGGAAGAACAAGUACGAGAGUAACUGCUCGUACCUUGACGGUACUUAACAAGAAAGCCACGGCUAACUACGUGCCAGCAGCCGCGGUAAUACGUAGGUGGCGAGCGUUAUCCGGAAUUAUUGGGCGUAAAGCGCGCGCAGGCGGUUUCUUAAGUCUGAUGUGAGAGCCCACGGCUCAACCGUGGAGGGUCAUUGGAAACUGGGAAACUUGAGUGCAGAAGAGGAAAGCGGAAUUCCACGUGUAGCGGUGAAAUGCGUAGAGAUGUGGAGGAACACCAGUGGC
This 692-nucleotide ribosomal RNA is filed under the name uncultured Bacillota bacterium. Its description in RNAcentral is "bacterial SSU rRNA". It matches the Rfam family "Bacterial small subunit ribosomal RNA", at positions 30 to 716 of the family's 1533-position model. Lineage: Bacteria; Bacillati; Bacillota. The record is from RNAcentral.